Molecule: ribosomal RNA, 700 nt
Filed under: uncultured bacterium
Lineage: Bacteria
Description: bacterial SSU rRNA
Rfam family: Bacterial small subunit ribosomal RNA
Source: RNAcentral
AGCGGCGUAAGGGGCAGUAAUACCUGGGAACGUACCCUUUGGUCGGGGAUAGCUGCUGGAAACGGCGAGUAAUACCCGAUGAACUCGAGAGAGCAAAGGCUUGCCGCCGGAGGAGCGGCCCAGGCGAUAUUAGCUAGUUGGUGGGGUAAUGGCCUACCAAGGCUUAGAUGUCUAGCGGGUGUGAGAGCACGACCCGCGCCACUGGCACUGAGACACUGGCCAGACACCUACGGGUGGCUGCAGUCGAGAAUCUUCGGCAAUGAGCGCAAGCUUGACCGAGCGACGCCGCGUGCGGGAUGAAGGCCUUCGGGUUGUAAACCGCUUUGGUCCGAGAGAAAGGGCAACUUGAUCGAUCGGAGAAACAAGGACGGGCUAAGUUCGUGCCAGCAGCCGCGGUAAGACGAACCGUCCAAACGUUAUUCGGAAUCACUGGGCUUAAAGGGCGCGUAGGCGGCCGAGCGGGUCGCGGGUGAAAUCCUCCAGCUUAACUGGAGAACUGCCCUCGAUACCACUGCGGCUCGAGGAAGGAAGGGGUCAUGGGAACUGUCGGUGGAGCGGUGAAAUGCGUUGAUAUCGACAGGAACGCCUGUGGCGAAAGCGCAUGACUGGUCCUUUUCUGACGCUGAGGCGCGAAAGCCAGGGGAGCAAACGGGAUUAGAUACCCCGGUAGUCCUGGCCUUAAACGAUGAGAACUAGGUAG